This is a ribosomal RNA of Kwoniella shivajii, 115 nucleotides long. The record is from RefSeq and is a predicted model, not a curated record. Lineage: Eukaryota; Fungi; Basidiomycota; Tremellomycetes; Tremellales; Cryptococcaceae.
UACGGUCAUAGAAUCUCGAAAACGCCCUAUCCCGUCAGAUCUAGGCAGCUAAGCUGGAUAUCGCUUGGUUAGUACCAUCGUGGGGGACCAGAUGGGAAUCCCAAGUGCUGUAGUU